CGUGCAGCAGUCGGGGAAUAUUGGGCAAUGGGCGAAAGCCUGACCCAGCAACGCCGCGUGAGGGAAGAAGGUUUUCGGAUUGUAAACCUCUGUCCUCAAGGACGAAGAAAGUGACGGUACUUGAGGAGGAAGCCCCGGCUAACUACGUGCCAGCAGCCGCGGUAAUACGUAGGGGGCGAGCGUUGUCCGGAAUGACUGGGCGUAAAGGGCGCGUAGGCGGCCGAUUAAGUCUGGAGUGAAAGUCCUGCUUUCAAGGUGGGAAUUGCUUUGGAAACUGGUUGGCUUGAGUGCGGAAGAGGUAAGUGGAAUUCCCAGUGUAGCGGUGAAAUGCGUAGAGAUUGGGAGGAACACCAGUGGCGAAGGCGACUUACUGGGCCGUAACUGACGCUGAUGCGCGAAAGCGUGGGGAGCGAACAGGAUUAGAUACCCUAGUAGUCCA
This 439-nucleotide ribosomal RNA is filed under the name uncultured bacterium. RNAcentral describes it as "bacterial SSU rRNA". It matches the Rfam family "Bacterial small subunit ribosomal RNA", at positions 345 to 797 of the family's 1533-position model. The record is from RNAcentral.